AAUCAUCACCCCUGCCCCAUAAACAUGAAAGAAAAGACAAGAGAAGCACCCCAGAAGAGAAGGGGAGAAGUGCCCCAGAAAAAAUCAUCCAGUCUCUGAAGUUUGCCCAGGUUAGGUAGGGACUGGCAGGCACCUUGGCUGUCCUUGUGGCUUCUGCCCUGACCCUGGUCCUCCCCAGGCUGCCGAUUUUCCGGGCUGCUGCUCUUCCAGGAGGAAUUGAAGGUGGGAAUGGCUGAAACCUCAGCUUUGGAUUCGCAGAGACCCUAAGCUGUGUCAUGCAGAAAGGGAAAGGAUUGCAGAUGGUGGUGGCAUCAGCUGAAGGCAGGGGAUUCACUGUGAUGCUGGAGCCGUCCACGCUGGGAUGUUUGCAUACAGCCCAGGUUCAAUUCGGUGGCCCAUCAGCGAGUCCUGGAUUCAGUCUCACUCGCAAGCCAUGGACAACAUGAGCUCAAUUUGCCAGGACUCUUGGGGUUAGGGAGAGCUCAGCGUCCGGGUGGCUCUGGUUCCUUCUCAUGCUGAAAUUCUGCUGGUGUUCCUCCAUGGGGCCCUUGUGGGUUUUUCUGAGGUGCCCCUCUUGCUGGAGUCGAGGAUGAGAAAUGUUUUCAGUGGGUUUUCACCCUCCACACAUAUGUAAGAGGUGUUGUGUUUCAUUCCUGUCAGUAUCCAUUGCUGCAGCUUCCUGAAGUUGUGUCCGUUAAAAGGCAGGGACCCAGUGUCCAGGCUACAGAGGGUGACUCCAGGUUCCACAGCACCACUGUGGACCAGUGUGCCUAUGGCCUUAGGAGAAUUCCCAGAUAGCACAAGGGGGCUGCCCCAGAGGGUGUUCAGCUUGUUGCCAACAGUUACUGAAGCCAGAGUCUGCAACCUUGAUGUUCAGGUCAAGCAGCCAGAAACAGGUGUUCUGGCUUUAGGUCCCUGUGGACAAUGCCAUUCUCUCCUUCCCAGGCUACUGAUGUCCUGGGUUGCUCCUCUUAUGGUAGAAGCUCAAGAUGGAAUGGCUGGAGCUUGGCUGCCUCCGGUUAGAGCCUGGGCUCUGUAUUGCAGACAUCACCCGGCAGAAUUCCUCAUGGGCCCCUUUUGUCGUGGGUGCGACUGCUGGGGCCAGGGUUGUCGUGGGUAGUAAAGGUAUUUACCAAGACAACUGUGAGUAAAGAAAGGCAAAUUUAUUACAGAAACUAUGAAAAUACAUUGCAAGAAUGCAACAUGCAGCACAGCAGAGAAGGGGCUGUCUGCAAAGAUAAAGGGCUGGAGGGAAGUUUUCUAAGGUUGUGCUGGACAGGGCUAUGUGCCGGUGAGCUUGUGCUAUAUGCUAAGAAUAUGUUGGAAUAAUUUUAACUGCCAGGGCUUUCCUCUUCUGGUGCCUGAGGGAAACGCCCUGCUGCUUUUAGCUGUCUUGUAACCCACACGCCUUUUCAUUUCUGAAGUUGCAAGAUAACGGCUGUGGUUUUUCACACAAAAGGGUUGCAGACUGGGUUAGGUCCAUGUUCCGCCAACCUGGCUCUUUCCCAGUUUCAGUUAACUUAGUGGUUUACUAGAGCCCCACACCUUUCUCUUUCAUAUGGCCAUGAUCCAGGAGGUAAUCCGUCACCUCCCCUCCACUAGAGUGCUCCAUGGCCAGGGGUAAUCCUCACCUCUCCUCCGCUAGAGUGCUCCAUGGCCAGGCAGUGUUUCCUGCAUCCAGAGCACCUCAAACAAUUUCAGUGUUGUGGUGACUCAGGGCCUUCACCAUACAGACUUGGCAGCAUAGUCUAGAGGCUGGAGGGUCUCUGUGACUCCCAUUAAUGACGGUCACUGCCACGGUUUCCCCAAGCAGGAUGUGCCAGGAAAACUGCUCCAUGUUGGCUCAGCAGAAUGUUAUUAUAGGUAGCUCAAAAAGAGAGGGAACAGGGCUUCUAGAUUAUUUCAGGGAACAAGCUAUUAUUUGAAUGUUAAUUUAAGACUAUUUUAUCAAUUAAAAAUGUAAGGCCCAAGAAACUUCAUUUAGGAAGAAUGAAUAAAUUGAAUGAAUACUGUUAAACUUUAUGCUUCUUUCAACAAAUAUUUUCUGCUCCUCUCUAUGAAUCAGGCACUGUGCUAGAUACCAUAACAUAGAAACAUAGUGUCAAUCAAAUAUGGUGUGGGUACUGUAUGUCAAAUUUAAAAAUAAAAUAAAAGUGCUAUAUAA
RNAcentral lists this small RNA (2164 nucleotides) under Pongo abelii (Sumatran orangutan). RNAcentral describes it as "processed transcript". Lineage: Eukaryota; Metazoa; Chordata; Mammalia; Primates; Hominidae. The record is from RNAcentral.